Molecule: ribosomal RNA, 47 nt
Filed under: Fagonia indica
Lineage: Eukaryota; Viridiplantae; Streptophyta; Magnoliopsida; Zygophyllales; Zygophyllaceae
Description: partial 28S ribosomal RNA
Source: RNAcentral
CCCCAGGUCAGGCGGGAUCACCCGCUGAGUUUAAGCAUAUCAAUAAG